This 1833-nucleotide long non-coding RNA is filed under the name Homo sapiens (human). RNAcentral's name for it is "HSALNT0270152". The record is from RNAcentral. Lineage: Eukaryota; Metazoa; Chordata; Mammalia; Primates; Hominidae.
CUCAACUCUACACUAUACAUGGAACUCUGAAUUGACUAAGGACCAUUGAAUUGUACACUUUAAACAGGGGAAUUUCACGGUAAAGAUGGAUGCCUUGGAAGAUCCAAAUUGGAAUGGAAAGAAGGUGCUAAUGCAAUCCCACCUCCUCUGGGGGCCGCAGUAUUCAAUCGCACUAUUCAUUUCCUAACCUGAGUUUUAUAAAGAUUGUCUUUGUGGCUGGCAAAUAGACUUGAGUCAAUUACAGCCCACCGUUCCUGACCGUUCCUGACACCAGGCGAAUGUUAAUGGGAAUGACGGAAGGAUGUGAUUUUCUGCACGUGCAAAUUCGAACUGGCAGGCCCCAUUCAGAGAACCUGGAAUUAAGUCUCAGACCUUGGACCCCACACUCGGUCCUCGCUGAGGCUCCCCCCACCGACUGCCCAAUUACAUUAUCUGUGACAUCCUGAGGCCGUCUGAGGGUCCUAAGCAGGCAGUGCCAGGAGCCUGAGCCUGUGCUCUGGGCAGGAGGAGGGGAGAGCUGGGCUGAGUGUGCAGUGGGCCUCCAGGUAGAGCAACCCUCCACAGUGCAGGUGGGCCUUUUGGAAAGCACAGUGAGGGGCACCCUGGCCUCAAACUCUGAAAGCACGGGAGUGCUUGGCUGAGCCCAAAGCCUCAGCCCCUGCGAUGGUUGUUUCCACGGGAGUGCUUGGCUGAGCCCAAAGCCUCAGCCCCUGCGAUGGUUGUUUCCACGGGAGUGCUUGGCUGAGCCCAAAGCCUCAGCCCUACGAUGGUUGUUUCCACGGGAGUGCUUGGCUGAGCCCAAAGCCUCAGCCCCUACGAUGGUUGUUUCCACGGGAGUGCUUGGCUGAGCCCAAAGCCUCAGCCCCUACGAUGGUUGUUUCCACGGGAGUGCUUGGCUGAGCCCAAAGCCUCAGCCCCUACGAUGGUUGUUUCCACGGGAGUGCUUGGCUGAGCCCAAAGCCUCAGCCCCUACGAUGGUUGUUUCCACGGGAGUGCUUGGCUGAGCCCAAAGCCUCAGCCCCUGCGAUGGUUGUUUCCACGGGAGUGCUUGGCUGAGCCCAAAGCCUCAGCCCCUACGAUGGUUGUUUCCACGGGAGUGCUUGGCUGAGCCCAAAGCCUCAGCCCCUACGAUGGUUGUUUCCACGGCAGUGCUUGGCUGAGCCCAAAGCCUCAGCCCCUACGAUGGUUGUUUCCAUGGGAGUGCUUGGCUGAGCCCAAAGCCUCAGCCCCUACGAUGGUUGUUUCCUUCUCCCCAAAGCAGAGGUGGGCACAACACCGUCUAACCCUGUCCCUGAGCUGUCCUCCACCCAACCUCAUGCCACAUCUACCAGCUGCAGGGAUUUCUGCCAAAAAACAGCAGCCUGUCACACGUCGCUCAGACCUAGCCCCUUCCUGCACUGCUAGAAUGAAGACCCCAUUCUAUCUCUGUCUAGAGCAGAAGGCAGCAAGCAUUUUCUGUAAUGGAUCAGGCAGUACAUAUUGUGGGUGGGUGGGCCACAAUGUCUCUUUCUAAUUGCUCACCUGGUCCACAGCAGAGGCAAAGGCAGCCACAGACAAUACGUACAGGAAUAGGUAUGGCUGUGUGCCAAUAAAACUUUAUUUACAAAAUAGGCAGGGGGCCAGACUUGGCUUGAGGACUGUAGGUUGCUGACGACCACAGUCUAGGUUCUAGGGCUGUGCUGGUUCUAACUGGGCUGAGCAGUCAAUCAGCAUGAAAUACACAUAAGGCUUUGCAGUCCUCACUCCCCAAAAUGAAUGUCAGAUUUCGCAUGAACAAUUUUUCAUAUGGACUGGAUGUUGAAAGAACAUUUUGGAUAUAUUGGGUUAAAUAAA